This 421-nucleotide unclassified non-coding RNA is filed under the name Aphyllon fasciculatum. Its description in RNAcentral is "partial external transcribed spacer". The record is from RNAcentral. Lineage: Eukaryota; Viridiplantae; Streptophyta; Magnoliopsida; Lamiales; Orobanchaceae.
UGUAUGAGCAUGUUGGAUCCUUGCUUGCGCAUCGACAAUGUCUCAUGCAUUCCAUUUCAGUUGUUGCCUCAAGUUUUACUUGGUCGUUGCGUGUUUCCUGUGCUAAAUACCUAACAUGAAGGCAUUCCAUUUGAUGCGACACUAUAUCCACCUUUCGAUGCCCCCCAAGAGGAGUGCGUUUUGUUGGUGGACGUCAAAUCAUGCAUUGUGUUUCACAUCCUUUGCAUGCUUGUUCAUGCUUUGGGUUGUUGACCCAUGAUGUUAUGUUUGAUUUCUUGGAUAUGGAAAAUUAUGAGGGUAUGGGUCUUUGGCCUUUAACAACCCCAAAAUAGGCGUUCGACGCUAUAANCNAACGACUGUCGUGUUUGUGUUGGACGAGUCCUUGUGGCUUUGCUCAUACGGCACACAUGUCGGUGAGGAA